GGAUUAGAUACCCUGGUAGUCCACGCUGUAAACGAUGUGCACUAGGCGUUGGGGUGUUGAAACCUCAGUGCCGGAGCUAACGUGGUAAGUGCACCGCCUGGGGAGUAUGCCGGCAACGGUGAAACUCAAAGGAAUUGACGGGGGCCCGCACAAGCGGUGGAGCAUGUGGUUUAAUUCGAUGAUACGCGAGGAACCUUACCAGGGUUUGACAUAUACCGGAAGUCGUAAGAGAUUACGGCGCCCUUCGGGGCUGGUAUACAGGUGCUGCAUGGCUGUCGUCAGCUCGUGCCG
This 291-nucleotide ribosomal RNA is filed under the name uncultured bacterium. Its description in RNAcentral is "partial 16S ribosomal RNA". It matches the Rfam family "Bacterial small subunit ribosomal RNA", at positions 775 to 1067 of the family's 1533-position model. The record is from RNAcentral.